AGCCUGAACGCUGGCGGCGUGGCUAAGACAUGCAAGUCGUACGGGUGUAGCAAUACACCAGUGGCGGACGGGUGAGUAAUGUAUCGCUAACGUACCCCGGACUCUGGGAUAGCUGCCCGAAAGGGCAGGUAAUACCAGAUGACAUAUCCUUAUCGCAUGAUGAGGAUCUCAAAGGGAAACCGUUCUGGGAGCGGGCGAUAUCGUAUCAGCUAGUUGGUAGGGUAACGGCCUACCAAGGCGACGACGCGUAGCCGGACUGAGAGGUUGGCCGGCCACAUUGGGACUGAGACACUGCCCAGACUCCUACGGGGGGCUGCAGUAACGAAUCUUCCGCAAUGCACGCAAGUGUGACGGAGCGACGCCGCGUGUGGACGAAGUCCUUCGGGAUGUAAACCACUGUCAGGGGUUAGAAAGUUCUGAUCAACCCAGAGGAGGCACGGCUAACUCUGUGCCAGCAGCCGCGGUAA
This 467-nucleotide ribosomal RNA is filed under the name uncultured bacterium. RNAcentral describes it as "SSU rRNA". It matches the Rfam family "Bacterial small subunit ribosomal RNA", at positions 26 to 523 of the family's 1533-position model. The record is from RNAcentral.